UAACACGUAUCCAACCUGCCGAUAACUCGGGNAUAGCCUUUCGAAAGAAAGAUUAAUACCCGAUGGCAUAAUAGAACCGCAUGGUUUGAUUAUUAAAGAAUUUCGGUUAUCGAUGGGGAUGCGUUCCAUUAGGCAGUUGGUGGGGUAACGGCCCACCAAACCUUCGAUGGAUUGGGGUUCUGAGAGGAAGGUCCCCCACAUUGGAACUGAGACACGGUCCAAACUCCUACGGGAGGCAGCAGUGAGGAAUAUUGGUCAAUGGACGAGAGUCUGAACCAGCCAAGUAGCGUGAAGGAUGACUGCCCUAUGGGUUGUAAACUUCUUUUAUAUGGGAAUAAAGUGGUCCACGUGUGGAUUUUUGUAUGUACCAUAUGAAUAAGGAUCGGCUAACUCCGUGCCAGCAGCCGCGGUAAUACGGAGGAUCCGAGCGUUAUCCGGAUUUAUUGGGUUUAAAGGGAGCGUAGGUGGACAGUUAAGUCAGUUGUGAAAGUUUGCGGCUCAACCGUAAAAUUGCAGUUGAUACUGGCUGUCUUGAGUACAGUAGAGGUGGGCGGAAUUCGUGGUGUAGCGGUGAAAUGCUUAGAUAUCACGAAGAACUCCGAUUGCGAAGGCAGCUCACUGGACUGCAACUGACACUGAUGCUCGAAAGUGUGGGUAUCAAACAGGAUUAGAUACCCUGGUAGUCCACACAGUAAACGAUGAAUACUCGCUGU
RNAcentral lists this ribosomal RNA (713 nucleotides) under uncultured bacterium. RNAcentral's name for it is "bacterial SSU rRNA". It matches the Rfam family "Bacterial small subunit ribosomal RNA", at positions 111 to 823 of the family's 1533-position model. The record is from RNAcentral.